This 28-nucleotide small RNA is filed under the name Bombyx mori (domestic silkworm). Its description in RNAcentral is "ovarian small RNA-20323". Lineage: Eukaryota; Metazoa; Arthropoda; Insecta; Lepidoptera; Bombycidae. The record is from RNAcentral.
UACAGUAGACAAUCUGAUUUUGAUGCCC